CCAAAUAUUUUCAAUAAUGUAGAUCAAGGCUAACAGAGCUUAUCGUCGAUUUGGAAGACGCAUCAUCGAAAACAACUCGGUAGCACGGAGCCCUCCGUGCUACCGAUAGUAUAGUAGCCGGACUAUAUAUAUAUAUAUAUAUAUAUAUAUAUAUAUAUUAGUUUUAUCUCUAUCUUUUGGGAAUCCUAACCCGUAUCCUAUAUAUUACGAACUCGUAGGCUUAUCUUGCGCUACACAAAAUUGACCCGUUGAAACACAAUCUUUGCCUUGUAUAUAUAUAUAUUGGAGGAGGUUGCAAGAGUUCAAUCUCAACCUGUGCCUACCUGAGAGAAAAACCUUAAUCUCUACCUCUGCUGCUUCGAUUUUCUCGCCAUUGAUCUUUUCGCUGAUUUUCACCGAGCUUUUUAAUAUUUUGCUGAACCUCCUAAAACUUGUUGGGUUCAUCUUGUGCCACAUUGAAAGCAUGCCGACGGAGCGGAACGUGGACGUUGUAUCACUAGAAGUGAUUGCCGAGAAGCCUUGCAAGUGGAGGGGCAAUCUCGCUUUUAGGACAUUACUCUACACAUCUCGAUUUACGGACCUUUUCUAAUCCUUUUCUUUACAGUAUUUACUAUUUGAUUUUUUUUCAAAAUUUUUCUAAAACUAGAAUUAAAUUUUUUUUUUGCUUUUGAAAAAAAAUUUUACUAAAUGAUCAGAAAAAUUUUCCAACGGUAGGAUGUACACUCCAAACAAGGGUGUAUAGGUAGACGUUUCCAAAAUAAAAAUAACUUUUCUAAAUUAAUUUAUAAAUUUAAUUAAUAAAAUAACUUGUAUUUGCAAAAAGUAAAUAUAAAUUUUAAAUUUUACACUUAUCUAGAACCGAAUUUAAAUUUUGAAAUCUAAAUUAAAAAUUUUAAAAUUUAAAUUUUGAUUUUAAUUUUUAAUAUUUAUAAUUUUCAAUUUGAAAUUUAAAAAUUAAAAUUUUAAGCUUAAAUUUAAAUUUUAAAUAAAUUUUUCAUAUUUUAUUAAAUGUAAAGAUAAAUUUUUAAUUUUAAUUUUGAAGUUUAAAUUUAACAUUUAGAAUUUUCAACUUGAAAUUUAAAAACUUUAAAUUUCAGUAGGGGAAUGGGUGGAAUCUCAAUAAGGCCGCAUGAGACUACGUGCGCAUUUAAUACCCAUUUAAUCUCAACCAUCAGUUCUAGAGUUGUAGAAUGUACAUUCAAACAGGGGUGUACAAAUAAAUAUUUUCUUUUAAAAUUUACAAAAUUAUCCGUGAAAUUACAUUUAGAAAAAAAAAAUGUAGAAAGCCUUUUAAACUUUAAUAAUUUUAUUAAAAAAAUAACUUUAAAUUUUAGACUCAUAUAUUUUAUUGAAUAAUUUAAUAGAUUGCUCACCUCAAUUAAAAUUAUUAAUUACAUAAUUUUUUUUGAUCGCUUGUGUCGCAUAUAAUUAUAUAAAGCCUUUAAAUCAAAAUUUUUAUUUUCCAUUAUAAAAUAAAUUUUAUUGAUAUGAACUCCGUCCCAAACCAAACGAAAAAAAAAAAAAAAAAAAUCUACUAAACUAUUUAAUAAGUUCAGAAAAAAAUUUUAUUAAAAUUAAAAAUUGGAAGUUUGUAACUUGUAAGCAUUAGUUUGUACUUUUCCGUUAAUUUUAUUCGAGUCCAGCAAAUCCGUCGACGACUUCGUGCAGCGCUUGCAGAAGCCGCAAUGUCAACACGCAACCCACACGACGACCGCAGCGUCUUCGCCGGCCUAGGCAGUCGUGCCCUGGAAGGAUGAGUCCUCCCCCUUCCAUCAAAAAUCAAAUCGCACAUCUUAACCGCACCUUACUCAGAUCCAACAGAAAGUUAGUUGAAGUUCUUAAUCCCCUUCUCUUUCUCUUUCUCUUUCUCUUUCUCUUUACUUUUAUAAAUAUUAAAGAUUUUAAGUUUUCAAGAUUGAUGAGCUGGUACGAUCUUCCCGCGGACGUACUGCAACUCAUCGCCGCCCGCAUAACUCUCCACGCCGACUACAUCCGAUUCCGCGCAGUCUGCUCCUCGUGGCGCGGCGCCGUCUCCAGCCGGCCGUGCCAUCUCCCCCCGCAGCUGCCCUUCCUGAUGCUGCCGGCACGAGGCGACCCCAGCGGCGGCUCCGGCGCGCGCAAUUUCUACAGCCUCACCGAGCACCGGACUUACCGCCUCGAAUUCCCCACCCACAAGCACUGCCUCGGCUCGUCCUACGGCUGGCUCGUCCUCCUCGGCCCCUCCACCGCGCUCUCCUUGCUCAACCCUUUCACCGGAUCCCAACUCCGCCUCCCGCCCGCCACCCAGAUUCCGCACCUCUCCGACACCGUCACCGCGGCCGACGUCAAGAGCCGCCUCUCCGAAUUCAGCGGCGAGCGCGCGAAGUCGACCUCCGCCGGCUUCUGGCAGCACUUGAUACGCAAGGCCAAGCUGUGCCGGCAGCGGUCGUCGUCGUCGUCAUCGUCGUCCAAGGAGCAGUGCGUCGUCGUCGUCGCCUUCCCGAAAGCCGGGCUGGCCUUCUGGCAGCGCGGGCGCAAAGCGUGGACGCACGCCGGACGAUACUGGCAGUUCGUCGACGUCGAGUUUUAUAAAGGAAAGCUCUACGCCAUCACCCGCGGAGGAAUUCUCAGCACCAUCGAGAUCGACACCUCAGUGAAAGAAACCGUCAUCAUCUCGUCGCCGCCGUUUUCGUACAACGGAUCAAGCUCCGUUUACCUAGCGGAGUCUGCGGAGGGCCUGCUCCUCGUGGUCAGGAAGUACGGCGAGAGCAUCGGCGACCGGAUUUUGAUCGUGGAGAGGGGAACGUCCAUGUCGUUGCCGGCUUCCGGAUUAGCGGGCUGCAAGGGGAACUGCAUUUACUUCACCGACGAAUACGACGUGUGCAGUGAAGGUCAGAUCACAGGAGGACUUGAUUUCGGUGUGUUUUGCUUGGAAGAUGGUAGUGUGCAGAGAUUGCCGUGUUAUCCGCAAGAUGCUGAAUCGCUGUGGCCGUUUCCUUCUUGGGUAACACCGAAUUUGUGGUAGUUAAUGGAAGCAUGAUUUGCGUUCCGCCAAGGGUUGUGCAGUGCAAUUUUUUUUUUAUGAAGUGCUAUUUGAGUAGUGUUAUGGAUAAAUGCUCAAUUAAUAUCCUGUUAUGAGCUUCAUUUGACAGCAGAACUAGAGUUUCAAAUUAAAGCUUUUAUUUAAUUUCAUGACUCAGUAUCCGAAUCAGUAUGAUUGAACCUUCUAUCUUAUUCAAUUAUUCACUAAUUUAGAAUGACUCUUAUUACGGUUUAUGAAACUCUCCUUAGUUACUUUGUAACUAGCUACUUUCACCCUUAGGCAGCGUUUGGUUAGGGAUAGGGAUAGGGAUAGGCCCUUAUCCCCCUCUUUAUACUCAAACGCUAAUUUUUUAUCCGAGAAUAGUAGUUCUCGGUUAUCCCCACCAACUCCUCCAUUUUCUAUAUAAAACUAUCUAAUAUUUUUCUUAUCCCCGGGAAGAACUCAAUUUUCAUCCAAACGCUAUUUUUCUUAUCCCCAUACUUGUACCUAUUUCUAUAAUAGCUAGUUCUUGCUUAUACCCGAACCAAACGAUACCUUAAAAUUUUCUUUCUUUUUUCCCUUUCCAUUUUUUUUUUCCCAUCAAUGUUUUCAUCAUGCAGUAGUCCUGUGGCGCUAUAAUCCCUCUACAAAAUAAGGCAUCGCAUUUCAUUCUGAACAAUCAAACACAUGCACGAAAUACAAACAUGAGUGAAUUUUUGUUCUGAAUUUUAUAUCCAGCUUAAAUUGCUCUUUCAAAAUAACUAUGUUUUACGUCAUAAGGCGUCGCAUUUUAUUCUAAACAAUGGAACACAUGCACAGAAUAUAAAGCUGAGUAAAAUUUUUAUACUAAAUUUUAUAUUCAGCUUAAAUUACUCUUUCAAAAUAAUUAUAUUUUAGUUUACAAGGCAACCAAUUUUUAUUCUAAACAACUAAUAUACAUGUACAAAAUUCUGAACAACUGUAUUUUACAUCCUAAAAUAGGAUACAGUAUUUCAUUAUAAACAAUGGCACAGAUACACCAAAAACAAAGUUAGAGUGAAAUUAUACUAGAUUUUACAUCCAGCUUUAAUUGAACUUUCAAAAUAACUUUAUUUUUUUACACUAUAACAACAUAUAUACACAUUUAUGAGCUAUGUUGAUUAAAAAAUAUUAAAAAAUAUCAUUCAAUCAAAAACCUUUAUUUGACAGUUAAAAUGAUUAUUUACAUUAUUUAAAGAGCUAUAAAGCAAAAGGCAGAGACAAAAAAGUUUCUAAUGUAGCAUUUUUGGAGUUUGUACAAUAAUUGGGGUCAAUAAUGAUCCAACGGAAUGUAGUUUUGGGCUUAAUUACAUGAGUAAUGCUACUAGCACACUUAUAUUGUUGAAAAAAUUAUCUCUAUUCUUUUAUUAUUUACACACUUAUAUUGUUGAAAAAAUUAUCUCUAUUCUUUUAUUAGUUACCUUUUAAAUAAUUUUAAAUGAAAAUAAUUAAACUUCUGUUUUGAAAAAUCAUAUGCAAGAAUUAACAAUUAAAUAAUAUAAAGAAGAAAAGAUUAAGAUGCAGCCUGUGAGUCAAGAUAUAUUAUAUACUGUCUUAGAAGCGAGAUUGUCUCUCCACGUGCAAGACUCCGGCAAUCGCUUCUAGUGAUACAAUAACUGCUGUCCAUUCCAUCGGCACGUCUUCAAGAUGGUGCAACUCAAACAAAAAAUGAUAUUUUAGAGGUAAGUAUAGAAAAAGAUUGGUAUAGGUCAAAGCAAAAGUACAAAUGGAAGAAGUAGCUAAUGAAACUCAGUUAACCCCUGUACCCAUCUACACCUUCUCUAUAUACAUAUAGGAGCCAAUCACACUUGCCUUCACCAAAGGCCAAUGCGAGGUAGGGUCCAACGGCUCUUUGCUCGGGUUAACCAUUGGACCUUAGCAAAUUAAGCAGUCUCGGGUUACCAAGGAGACCCUUUUAGGUAGCCCUUUGGACCAAACUUUAGGUAGAUUCAGAUAAAGUUAAGAUCUAAAAUCCCAAUAUGCAAAAUAAAAAAAUAAGGUGAAUUGAAUUGGGUAGCCAAGACCGCACGCGCCGCGCCGCGGCCCGACUCAAGCUCGUGCUAUGCGCGCGUGUGUAUUGUGGAAAGCACUAUUCUCAUUCUCAUCCAAGCAAUAAGCUUGAAGAUAAUGAAAAAUAAGAUGUGCAACAACAAGUCAUUACUUUCCGAUGUGAGACUUGUUGGCGAAAAAUCCAAAAUUUUCUAAUUACUAUUUUUAUUUUAUUUUUAAUUUAUUAAUUCUUUUAUUCUCAUUUUGUUAAUAUUUAUUAUUAUUAUUAUUUAUUGUUUUAAUUAAUAGGUUGGAACAUACGGCAUUAAGUGGGAUUAAUGAAGUGGAACGUUGGAGGCAUCCAAUGUUCCAUUCACACCCGCAUUUAUACUGCCUCCUGUCACGGACUUAACGGUUUUGUUUGCAAAGUCCGUGCGGCACCCGCCUUCCUGCUCGAAAAUGAGCAAGCCUACCUCUCUACUUACUAAGUCAGGAUCUCCUCGUCCUAAAACUAAGUACAAGAGAGAGAGAGAGAGAGGAAUGUCGUAUAUUGAUAGAAAUUGAAGUACAACUGAUUUCCUUCCUAAUGAGAAGGGGUGGAGGCCACAACUCUUUUAUAGGCCACUCACCACCCAGGCUACAAAUGAAAAUGCGCCAAGUGGCGCAUAACUACAAGGCAAAGAGAUAGGCUACGGUCUCCCAAGAGACUACAAUUAUGGCCCUCCUAAAAACUCUAAGGGUCUCUUGACUCUUCGGCAUCCACACCAUCAGUCUUGAGAUCCGCGUAGAAGCUUCUAGAACGCCCCAGCAAAACCUCCGACAGAACGCUCCUUCGGAGAAUGGCCCACUAUCAAGGAGAAGUCAACGAAAAAUAUUUUGUCCGUGACACUCCUCUACUAUUCAUGUAAUAUGAACCUAGUAGAGAAAAGUGGAAAAAAAAAAAGAGAAGAAUUUUCUUUUGUUUCUAUUUUAAUUUUAUUUCUUUUGAUUUCUUUUGCUAGCUGUUGAAAGUUUCUUCGUCAACCUCUUUUGUGCUCGUGCUCGUAGGAGAAGUUCCAGUCGUACCUUGGGAUGGUGUUUUCGGUUAAUCCCGCAUGUAGGAAGGAAAUACAUCUUAAGACAGUGCCUCGCGCGCUUCCAGAUCAACUAUUUACAAUAUAUUUGGAAUUUAGCGCUCAUUUAUAAGUACAUUUUUUAUUUUCAUCACAAAAUUAGUUAAAUUUUAAUUACAAUCGAAUUAUCGGUAUGGUAUUCCCUAACAUUCUAGUGGUUGAGGAUUCUGCUAUCAAACAUCUCGACCAAUUAAAACUCAUAGAGCCCUUCGAUGAGAAUGGUGUUGAUCAUGAUCGCGGUUAUAGUAGGGAACUUGUAGAUAGACGUGAUCGUGAGACUAAAAGGACGACGUGAUAUUACAUUUUGUAAAUUUUAAAUUGCAUGAAACUUUCUGUAUUAUUAAAAGACAUGGUCGAGAAACUAGGAGGAUGUGAUAUUAUAUUUUGUAAAUUUUAAAUUGAACAAAACUUUUUAUAUUAUUAAAAAACUUGCUCUAUUUUUUAAUAUUUUAUUAUGAUGAUAUAAUAUUGAUAUACUNCCAAAAAUCUAGUAUAAUAAAGCAACACAACAAAUCCAACACAAAAUCAGUACAAUAAUAUAACAUUUAACAUCAUCAAUAGUAUAUCAAUAUUAUAUUUUGUAAAUUUUAAAUUGAACAAAACUUUUUAUAUUAUUAAAAAACUUGCUCUAUUUUUUAAUAUUUUAUUAUGAUGAUAUAAUAUUGAUAUACUAUUGAUGAUGUUAAAUGUUAUAUUAUUGUACUGAUUUUGUGUUGGAUUUGUUGUGUUGCUUUAUUAUACUAGAUUUUUGGUGUUGAAGAGAAUGUUGCCUGAACUAAAGUUCUACUGAACAUAGUGAACCAUUCACCGUGUCUAAACAUAGUGAAUGGUUCUCCGUGUUUAAUAUAUUAUACUGCUUGAGUGCAAAGAUAGUAUAAAUAUUGAACACGAUAAACUAUUCACUGUAUCUGGACACGGUGAAUGGUUCACCGUAUCCAACUUAACCAGUCAUCCUGCUGACAUGGCACUCCCGUGAUAAGUAUAAGACCAAUAUUAUAAUAAUAAAUUUAAUAGGGCUAUUUGUGAAAAAAAAAAAUUUGAGGGAGCGAAAUGCAAAAAAGCCCAAACCAAAAAUAUUAAAAAGACAAUAAAACAAAACAGGAGACAGAGUGAUACCCAAGAGACUUAUCUUCUACCAUUUCCCACUAGUCAGCAACAGCUAUAGUUUCCAGGUGGUAGCAGCUAUUCCUUGCAAUAACAGCUACAGUUACAAUGACUAAACAAAGAAAAUUAUGAUCAAAAAGAGGACCCAACUUUAUUUCCACACAUUUUGACUAGUGCUGGGUAUUCUGUUCUAACGUUUAUAGCAACGACAUUACUAACAGUCCAAAAAAUGGCACGCCUACCUCAUUUGGAAAUUGGAACACAAAAAAAUUAAUAAUGCUAAUGUUACAUGUGGUUUUGUGCACGUGAGUACAAAAUUUCCUGUAGAAAGUCUAUAAAUAUAAUUAUAUCAAAGAAUAGAUUACUCAGCGCCCUUGUUAGCCUUGUAGGUGUUUAUGAGCUGCAUUUGUACAUCUUGGGAGACCGCCAAAUGCUCCAGGUAUUCCAUGGUGAACUCGCCUUUGCCCUGUCGGACAACAAAGAGUCGAAUUUAAUCAAGCCUCACAUAUACAGAAAAAGAAAGAAAGAAAAAACAGUAGGUAACAAUGAUAAUUUUGAUAGCGCAGGAAGAUGUCUAAAAGCACCGCUUAAAGAAACAGCUCUGCAGGUGAAUAAGAAUAUUAACGGGAUGUUUGGCCCUACUGAGCCCUAAAGUGAUUAUGGGCUCAGUAGAGUGCAACAAAUGUUGGGAAAUCUAAUUUUAUUUUCCAGAAUCAGAAAACUAAUUUUGAAGGCCUCAGAAUCAGAAAAUAACUGCUUCUUGAAAUGUGAUUUUGAUUUUGGACCCAAACUUCAAAUUUUUAUUUUAAUUUUAGAUUCAAAGUUUAAAUUUAAAUUUAAUUCUAAUUUUCAAAUUUAAAAUUUAGAUUUUAAAUUUUAAUCUCAAAUCUCAAAUCUCAAAGCUCAAAUUUUCAAUUUUCAAUUUUAAGAUAAAAUUUAAAUUUUGACAUUUUAGAUUUUAAAUUUUAAAUUUUAAAUUUAAAAAUUUAAAAGUUUAGAAUUUAAGAUUACAAGUUUUAAUCAUCAAACUACAAGUUUUAAAUUUUUAAAUUUUAAUUUUAAAUUUUAAAUAAGGUUAAUCUCAUACAAGUCCCUACAAAUAUAGUGAAUUGCAAAUAUAUUUCUAUAAAAUUCAACUUUCAUAUGUUGUCCCUACACAACUCCUAUUGUUUUCAAAUAUAUCCCUGCCAUUAGAAUCCGUUAGAAAACUUUGGUUAACCAUAAGUUAGAUGCUUAACCCUAGUUAGUUUAUAAGAUAACUCGACAUUUUGCCCCUCUUAUAUCAUACUGUUGUGGCUUUUGAAAAGACAUUCGUGAUGACAAAAAUGACAUUUCACUUAAAAUAUAAACAGUUUUAUAACGGUAAGAAACCAGAGGGACAUAUUUGAAAACAUUCGGACUAUUGCGGGAUCAACAUAUGAAAGUUGAACUUUGUAUGGAUAUAUUUGUCAUUCACUACAUUUGCAGGAACCAGUAUGCAUUUAACACAUUUAAAUAUUAAAAUUUAAAAUUCCAAAAUUUUAUAUUCUAAUUUUUAAUUUUUUAAAUUUUAAUUUAGAAAUUUUAUUUUAAAUUUGAAUUCAAGAUUUAAAUUUAGAUUUAAAUAUUCAAUUUUUAAAUUUUAAAUUUUUUAUGUUCUAAAUUAAAAUAUCAAAUUUUAAAUUUUGUACAAAUUUGAAAUUUAAAAAUUUUAAUUUUAAUUCUUUUAAUUUAAAUUUAAAUUUUAAAUUAUUUUAAAAAUAAAAUUUAGUAAAAAUAUUAAUAUAUGCAAACAUCAAAAAAAAAAAAUUUGCCAAACUGCUUUACAAAAUCACUUCAGAAAAGUCGCUUUUUAUCUAAACUCAGCCAAACGCUCUGCAGAGCUUUUAACCAAAAUCAAUUCUCCAAACCAAAAUCAAUUUUGCAGAAAUCACUAUUCUAGAAUCUAGGCCAAACGGAGCCUAACCUGGGUCAUGGAGCGAAGUGCCGUCGAGUAUCCAAACAUGUUGUUCAGUGGUACCUGACACCCGAAAUUAUUGCUCAAUUAAACAAUUAAAGAUGGAAGUAGGAAUAAUACAAGUUCCAAAUUUAAUAACUAGAUAUCAAACUCCAAUAAAUCAAUAUUGAUAAUAUAGCAAACAUAUGCGGUCAUCACUGAAUUGAAAAAAAAAAAAUUGAAUGCUACAAGAGAAAGAGUACAGCAUUUGCAUACUUGAGCAACGACGAUGGUGUCAUCACCAUCUUGGUCAUUUCCAACGAUCACACCUUUUCUCCUGUUUUUCAUGUACACAAAGAUAACGGUUAAUGUAUUCCUAAUCCAACAUAAAAGUAUAUGAUAAAAAUAUUUUUUAAUUAGAUAAUGAGCACUCACUUAUUAAUGUCACCAGUAACGGUGCCCUGAAAUUCUGUUGGUACUUUUAGUUCUACCUUCAUCACAGGUUCCAAUAUGACAGGCUUAGCUGCUGCAUAACACUACAGAAAAAAGGAAAUAACACAUGCUUAAAAAGCUUGUUUGUGUGAAUACUAAUUUUGAUUUGAUAUAUGUCUGUACCUUCCAUUUUGGAAAUGACAAAAAUGCCGAUCACGAUUAAAACAAGGGAAACCUCAAAUGACCCCCUUAUGCUUAAACAAACACAACUGCACUUUUCUAUUCUGCAGUUUCAUUUAUUGCACUUAACUACCUCAUUGUAUUUUCUGUUAUCAAAAUGACCUCCCAUUAGCAGUAGUUUAUAAACAGCAUGGAGAGGUCAUGGAUCCCUUCUCUUACCAUAUGUACUAUUCAGUUUGUUACGCCACUGGUCAUUUCUAACCUAUCAUUAAUGGGUGGGCGUUACAGCAUCACAGAACAAUAAACACAUGGUGAUCGAAUGCAACAAAGGAAACAACAGCAUAGUGGAUUUCUAAUGAACUAAACAACAAGGGGGGUUAUUUCAAGUUUCCCUUAAGAGAACAAAGAGAGAAAAUGGGACCAAUCCCAAAAACAUCAACCUGUCUGAAAGCAUAAAUGGCUGCCAACUUAAAAGCCAGUUCACUUGAAUCCACUGCAUGUGAUGCUCCAUCAGUCAAAACUACUCGAAGAUUUUCAACAGGAUGCCCAAUCAAUGAUCCCCUGCAUUUGUGGGUUAACAUGUUAAUAUCAGACAAGAAUUUAAAUCUACAGAGAUAAUGAAGCUAAUAAGCGAAAGUGGAUGAAGUUGUAACUUACGAGUUGCUAGCUUCUUUAAAGCCUUUCUCUAUAGCUGGGAUAAAAUUCGAAGGAAUUGCUUGACCUAUAAUCAUAUUCUCAAAUUCAAACUUCGUUGGAGAUCCCAUUGGAAGAGGUUCGAUAUAUCUGCAAAACAUAAAAGAAAGAGCUGAGAAACAUCUGAAAGCUACACAUACAACAUUUGAGGAUGAAAUAUUCCUUAGGCACCAGUUACAAGCCUGAUAAGUUAUCCAUUGAAUAGUACCUAAAUAUGAAAAUAGUUAGGGGCACUCUAUAUGCAUGACAAGACAGCAAUGUUUUGGAUUCGAGAUACCUAUCCUCACUACAAUCUUUCUUUUCCCCCAACUACCUAGUCCACUGAAGGGGUGGUUUAGUUUAUUACAUAAACCUUUCAAAAUAUAGGUGGUGAAGAAUUAGCAUGUUCCACAACAUUUCUGCUUUCUGCAAUUUUCUUUCAGUCUUUAAAGAUCCAAAAAGUUCUUCACACAUGAAACAAAAAAUAAUGUCAAAAUUUAAGACAUUUCAGACAUCAAAGAACAGAGUAUUUGUUGAGGUAGUACUUAAUAAUGUCAAUUAGCAACAUCCUAAACCAACUCCAAUAGAAGAAAGAAAUCAUAGAUUUUCAUAGAAAAACCAAGAAAAAGAACAGAUAAACAUCUAAGGGCCAAUUAUAUAUUUCAAGGUAGACAUGAUACAAGACACUAUUCGGACAUAAACAAAAAAUUGUUUGCGAGGGAAACAGAAAAAUUCCCAUCUUAUGAUUCACAAAAAUAAAAUAAAGAAAAAAGAAAAUUCAUCCGUCCUCCAUGAGACUUGUUUAUCCCCACUGACUAAUCCUCUAUAUUUACCCUAUCAUUAAAAAAACGAAGGCAAACUGGAAUCUUUUACUUCAAAUACAAGAACGGUGUUUUAUGGGAGAGUACUACCAUAUAGCUUUUCAUGAGUCAAGAAAUUUAAUUUACACAUGUGAUAUCCUCCCUUACAGAGCCACAUCCUUUGAAAACUGAAUCUUGCUCUAGUAACAAUGAUUGAUCAAAUGAACUAUAUUAGUCAACCAAAAGGCAAUCCUAACUUCAUUUGAUAAAAUAACACCAACAACCCAAGUUUGCUAAAAUAAGAAAUAAAAAAUUCAUUGAAGUUUCUUGCCUGGAGUGUUUAGACUCUCACUGUAUACUAGAGUGCAAUGAACCUCAUGACGGCCAAUACCAACCUCAAGAACUAACAAAUGAGUUUAACAUCCAAAAAUUACUAGUUACUGUUAUUUUAUGUGUUCAGUUCCAAACAAAAUCCUGACUAAAACAUUAUAAAUAUCUGACUUACAUAAAUCAAAUCUCAAUUUCAGCAGAAAAAAAUAUUACUACUCAGUUUGAUGGAAAUUCUAACUAAUUGUAGGUAAUAAUGUUAUCUUCUGCAGUUCACAGGUUUUUAAAACAUGUCUAACAUUCUGAGUGUUAUGUUUGAGUUUUCACAACUUCCUUUUCUAUUUUUUCUGCAAAUGAAUAUGCUGGAUACUACAAAUGGUUCAUUAAGAAAAAAAAAACGAGACUGAGUAAUCUAUAUUGAAUAAGUUAUCAAAGAAGAAACGACUCAUCCCCUAUUUCGAUGUUGGUGGGUAGGGACUCUAACCACAGCCAUUUACAUUCUCAGUCUUCUGAUUACUUUGCUUUUAUAGUAUGAAUAAAGGUCCUAAUGAAGUGAAACUUAUGUGUUAGUUGUGGAUAAUCCUCUCAUAUGCUGGAUUUUCCUCUCCUCUUCUUCUCCUCCCCUACCAUCCUCUACCCAUUCCUAAAUCUUUGUUGUUACCAAAACCAGCUAAUAAAUUGUAGUAUACGGAACUUUGGCAAUUUAUGAAACUUGAGUGUUGGAAUAGUAAUUGAAACUAUUUUACGACUGUUAAAGGAUUGUGGGGGGUUUCAGCAAGUCCCUGAAGCAAGUGGUCGAGAAAGGAAAAGUGCAUUGUAAAUGUACUAUUCAACUGUAAUGCUUCGAAUUGAUUAAUUGUGAAACCUGAGUAUGGAAUUGGUAUUGGGAGCUAAUAUACAUCUUUUAAAGAGUUGUGGUGAGGUUUCUGACAAGUUACAAGAGUGAUCGAAGCGCCAGAAGGUCAAAAGUGCAUUGCUCGUUAGAUGUGGAAAAGUGUGAAGUUUAAAUGUGAUAUUGGAAUUUGACUGAUUAUGAAGCCUGAUGAGUGGGAAUAAUAAUUGGAAUUAUUUUACAUUUUCUAAAGGGUUUAGAGACGUUGGUGAACCAGUUUGGAAGCAAAUAGGCCAUUGGAAGCGAGAAAGUGCAUUACUAUUGCUACUUUUGGCAUUUCUGCAUUGUGUACCGGUACAACAUUGAGGCUGUACCGGUAUAGAAAGCAUCAGCAACAGCAGCUGCGUGGCAGCAGCCCUGUUUUGGUCUUUUUGCUUCUUAAGCUUAUCUAUAAGCCGCCAGCUCGACCCCUGCCCUUCAGAUAAGGUUGCUGGGACCCUGAACCAAGGGUUUACACCUCUCUUACCUUCUCUCUCUAGAAAGGGUUCUCUCUCUAAGUGGAAUUAAGGGUUUUGGUCCAUUUUCCUCUCCUCUUUUGAUGCUGAUUGCUUUGGGAGGUCAAGGAGCUAUUACAGAAGUUGAAGCAAGUGUCUUUGGGUGGAUUUCGCAGCUCCCUUGCAGCAGGUAGCUGAGGGAAAGGUUACUAAGGUAACAACUUCAUUAAAUUGAGAUUUGAUGUGUUGGUGAUAGAGUUAAAGUGUGAUUUUGAGUUCUUGCAACCAGCAGGAGUGGGGAGAGCUGUGGAACUUUAAUUCGAAGCUAGAAGAAGGUACAAGCAAGCUGUGAGAAGGUAAUUGAGGGUUUAGACGCAUAAUUGAUGCUAUACAAGUUAUAAAUGUAAAGUAUGAAUGCUGAUUUUGGGAAGUUGUGCUCUCAGCAGCUGGAAUCUUCACUUUAGGCUGAGUAUUGCAAUCUUAUGAGCGGAUUUUGGAUGUAAAUUAACCAGAGGGAAGUGAGAAUUCAGGUUGGAAAUCUAUGUAAACUGAAUUCCAGCAUAUUCUAAGAAUUGCAUAGGUGUACUAACACUGUUUAAAUAGUAUUCACAGCAGGUUGCUAAAGGCUAUUGGAUUGUUCUUGGCUGAUAUUUAGGAGCUUUUGGAGGUUAAGGUGAGUACCUUAACCUGAACUAAAGCAGAAGUUCAAGCUGUAGCCAUGUGCAAGGUGAGAUAUUGUUAGAAUUAGAUGUUUCGGUAAUUGUUUCAAUGCAGUUUUCUAACUGGUUCGCAGUAGGUGCGAAGAUCACUUCGGGCUGAACAUUGAGACCCUUUUGGGCUGAAUUAAACUGAGUUUGAGAGUACUUCAACCUGAAUUAAGCAGAGGUUUAGCUUUAGUCUAAACCUAGGUGAGGAUUUAGUCCAUUUUCUAUUUUUACCAUUGGUAUAGUAAGUCAGCUCUUAGCUGAUUUUGGAUUUGAUGCUAGGGGAAUUGAAGGCUUCGGAUUUUCUGCGAAAGUAAGUUCGACAAGGAUCGUCAAGUAGAAGGUGGGUCGGACCUUCCCGAAAUGGGUGAAUUCCCUCUGUCUUCUUUGACAUUAUGAAUUGGAAUAGUGACAUAUUCACAUGCAUGUAUGGAUAUAUGAAUGUAUAGGGACAUGCAAUGAAUGCCGAAUAGAUCAUACAUGAUAAAACCUCUAUCUAUAUGAAAUUGCCUGGUGUAUAUAGACUGCUUGCUUGAUUAGCAUAUAGUUAUGUUAAAGUAUGAUUGUGUGGGCACUACGUAUAACCUAAGAACAUGACUUUUGGCCAAUUGGACAGCUGAAUGAAUGAUGUAUUGAGAUAAUGUAUCUUUGAACUAAAUUCCUCCAGUUGUACACGGUAGACAAGUUGAUUGAACUUUCAGCAUAUCAUAUAUGGUGAAACUACAUAAUUAUGUAAUGAUAUGGAAACUAUAUGAACCGUACAGUUAAAGAGGCUUCGUAUACAUAUACUGCCAAGGUGAUUAUUGUUAUCAUGGAAUGAUUUCUAGUGUUGGCUUAUAUGAUUUUGAUCUAGUUAUGUGGGUAGAACUGGUAUUGUAACACAGCAUGGUGUUAUGGUAUGAACAUAAUCUAGUGUAUAACUAGAGUUGAACAUGAUGACAUAUCUGUAUAAUCAAGUAGAUGUAAUUGCAUAGCAAUUGUUCUCUCCAAGUAGUGGAGGUUUACAUUGAACUACAAAAUAUGUGCCAUGAGUCUUUGAGUAUGACUUUAGUAAACCACUUUCCUUAUGUGUAAGGAGUAGUGAAAGGACUAUGAGUGAGUGACCAGGUGUAGCCUGAUAGAAUCACUAGUACGAUGUAAAGCUUAAACUUAUUAAGUUAUACUAGCUAUUGAUAGUAAAUUAUGUCAACAAGUAGUUGAUAGCAAUUUAUGAUUUGGUACUACAGUGUCGACCUUGGAUCGAGUCGAGAUCCCAUGAUGUCGUUGUGAUAUAGUACCAUGGAUUACAGCUUGCAUAUUAGACAGCCUUCGGGUGGGUCUUCAUAUUAGACAGCCUUCGGGUGGGUCUUCAUAUUAGACAGCCUUCGGGUGGGUCUCAUAUUAGAUAGCCUUUGGGUGGGUCUUCAUAUUAGACAACCUUCGGGUGGGUCUCAUAUUAGACAGCCUUCGGGUGGGUCUUCAUACCAGACAGCCUUCGGGUGGGUCUUCAUACCAGACAGCCUUCGGGUGGGUCUUCAUACCAGACAGCUUUCGGGUGGAUCUUACAAGAUUUAAACUUUUAGUUAAACAACAAGUGGGCAUUGACUAGAAUGGUGAACAAUGACAUCUUUACCAUUAAUAUGAAUGACAGAAUCUAUCAUAAUAAACUAGUACCUGCAACCUGUUGAUAUAUAUUUAUUUCUGAGCAAAUAGCAUGAUUGGUUUAUUUUCAUACCUGUUGCAGUUAUUUACUUAUUUAUUGCUAUUUACCCACACCACAGUUGACCUAGUGGUGUACUUCGCCACUCUCAGCGGCUUACCCACUGGGAACUAUUGUUUAAUAGUACUCAUGCCCUCUAUGUUGUUGUUUUUACAGAGCCUUCCACAGCGGGAAAGGCUAGGGUUUCUGCGAUGGGUCAACGGCUAGCUAGAGCCUUCUGGACGUUUACUAGACAACCUUUAUCAGUCUAUGUAGUUUAGUUUAUUGAUGUAUAUUAAGUUCAUGUACAUUGUACUUUGUUCUUAUCUAUUGUAAUAAGUUUUGGGUUGUAUAAGUUUAGACGUCUAAUUGUGCUCUGAUUACCUAGUUAAGUUAAGAUUCUAUUACUACAUUGUUGAUUCUCUUUGUAGACGCCUGGCGUAUACUUGAGUUAUGGUGUACACGGCGGGUCUGUGCACGCGACUGGUGAGCUUCCGCUGAAGUCCAGGGCGUGACAUAAAUCAACUUAUCAAAAAGAACAAAAUAGUUGGUAAAGUCAUCUCCCUGAGCCUAAUUUACGUAUUUUGCCAAAUAAAAACAUCCUCGAUGCAUAUAUAUAUAAAGGAGCAAUAGAUAUGAGAAAGAACUGCGGACAUUACACAAUCUAUCCUUACCCACAAACACGUCCAUAUUGACCUUGACCUCCUGAUUGCUUCUUGUGCAAGUAAUCAAAAUUUGCACGCUGGGUGACAGUUUCCCUAAAGUUAACACGUGGUCUUCCCACCUUCGCAUCAACCUUCAAUUCCACGUCAAAAAAAACGUAAAUAAAUAACAACUAUUGGAUAACAACUAAUCGAAUAAAGAAACAAGUAAAAAAACAAAAAAAAAAUUAAAAAAACACCAGAAUGCCCAUUCAGAAUGCUAAUUUUUAUUAGGGAUAAAUCAAGGAUUUAAGUGCCGUGGCGCGGGGUCGUGCUGAAAACUUGUGGGCACGGUACGUGCUGAGCCGUGUCGAUGCGUGCCAGUCAAAAAAAUUCUUGUGUGCCGAUACGUAAUAGCAUAAAAUAUUUAUUUUCUUUAACAACAAAAUAUUCUAACUAUUAGUAUGUCUUUUUAUCACAUCUUUUGAACUUUAUUGAGUAAAUAACUUACUAAUUUAAAGAAUAGAGGGUUUUGAGCUGUGCCAUCGGCACAGGAUCUAUAUCGUGCCAGUAUCUUGUUUGCACAGUACGGCACGGUGGAUACGACCCGUGCCGACGAGCACUUAAAACCUUGGGAUAAAUGUAAUGGAACCAUCUGAACUUUGUCUCAUGUGCAAAUAACCACCAAAACUCUGAAAGUUUAACAUUUGGCAUCUAAACUUUCCCACUUUUUUGCUGCAAAAAUCUAGUACUCAUGUAAGUAAAGACAAAUAUUUCAUCUGUUUAGAUUGACAAAAUGACCAAGGAGCAAUGGAGUACUCAUGUAAGUUAAAGACAAAUGAACCUUCUUGGUGCCAAAAUUCACUUUAGCAGUUAAAAAAGUUGAUUUUUAGCAUUAGAUUGUCCAAAAUCAAGUAUAGCAAUCUUGGUCAAUUUUUUACCAUUAAAGACCGACUUUGGAAUUGAGGCCCAUCUACAUUGCGGACGAAUGUCUUCACUAUUUACUAACCAAAUGGUAGAUGCUCUCCGCUCCAAACAAACAGUAAGUUUAGAAAGUCGGAUACAGCGAUAAGAAAGUUCGGAUGCCAAAUGUAAAAAUUUUGAAGUUCAGGUAGCUAUCUGUAAGCAAGCUGAAGUUUAGGUUGUUUCUAUGCAUUUACCAUGCUCUCCGCUCCAAACAGACAGUAAGUUUAGAAAGUCGGAUACAGCGAUAAGAAAGUUCGGAUGCCAAAUGUAAAAAUUUUGAAGUUCAGGUAGCUAUCUGCAAACAAGCUGAAGUUUAGGUGGUUUCUAUGCAUUUACCCUUCUUCUAAUUCACAAAGACACAGAAUACACAUGCAUAUGACAAUCCAAGCAGUAGGAAGAAAUUGGGAAAUGACUAAUAUUCCUUCACAACCUCUAUUUAGACUGUUACAAGAAAUAAGAAAUACAUCCAGUACCUUGUACUCCCUGCGAAUGCGUUCAACAUAAAUAUCCAAAUGAAGCUCCCCCAUCCCAGAGAUGAUUGUCUGCAAGAAGUGGAUGUUAUACAUAAUUUCAUACUUACGCAGAGGGUAGAAAAGGAUCUAGGAAGACAGGCAAAGAGUGUACCUGCCCACUCUCAACAUCCAGACCAACACGGAAAGUUGGAUCCUCUUUCUGGAAACGAUUUAGUGCUUUUGAAAACUGACAAUAAAAAGUAUGUCAUUAUGUGAUAUAGAUAACUCAGCAAAAACAAAAAAAUCACUUCGUAAUAAUAAUUAGUUUAAUAGAGAAGUGGAUAAGUAAAAGAUUACUUGUCCUCCAGAAUCUUUAGAUACAGGUGAAACAGCCAACGACAUCACUGGUUCAGGAACAUUCAUGGAAGUCAUGGUGUAUCUGACCGACCCAUCUGUAAAUGUAUCACCUGUUGGUACAAACAGAAUAAGCUUAGAGCACAAGUAAUACAAAAGAAGCACUUGGAAGCCUGAAAGAGCAGAAAGAAAUAUCAAAGUUGCUAACCUGAUGCACAAUCCACUCCAAACACAGCAACAAUUUGGCCAGCAUGAGCUUCUUGAAUGUCCUGCAUAAUGAUGAUCAGCUUACAGAUUUAGAUUCAUCAAAACAAGCUGGAAAGCAUAAAGUGCCAUAAAUUAGUAAAGAAAAAACCAUUAGAUCUAUAGAAAGCCAAAUAUAAACUAUUAAAGAGAAAUAAUAAAAAUUGUAUGCUGCAUGCAUACCUCCAUCUCAUCAGAAUGCAUCCUAACUAAACGAGGAACCUGCAGAGAAUGAUCACAAAUUAGGGAGUACAUAACCAACCUUUUAAAAAAA
This 18188-nucleotide long non-coding RNA is filed under the name Ananas comosus (pineapple). RNAcentral's name for it is "long non-coding RNA (ACOM_LNC009146)". Lineage: Eukaryota; Viridiplantae; Streptophyta; Magnoliopsida; Poales; Bromeliaceae. The record is from RNAcentral.